AUUAAAUCAGUUAUAGUUUAUUUGAUAGUACCUUACUACUUGGAUAACCGUAGUAAUUCUAGGGCUAAUACAUGCAAACAAACGCGACUUCUGGAAGCGUUGUAUUUAUUAGACAAAAAACCAAUACUGCGUCUUUUUGGCGCAGUGUCUCUGGUGAUUCAUAAUAAAUUGACGAAUCGCAUGGCUUUAUGCCGGCGAUGAAUCAUUCAAAUUUCUGCCCUAUCAAAUUUUGAUGGUAGGAUAGAGGCCUACCAUGUUUUUAACGGGUAACGGGGAAUUAGGGUUUGAUUCCGGAGAGGGAGCCUGAGAAACGGCUACCACAUCCAAGGAAGGCAGCAGGCGCGCAAAUUACCCAAUCUCGACACGAGGAGGUAGUGACAAUAAAUAACAAUGUAGGGCUUUUGUAAGUCUUGCAAUUGGAAUGAGAACAAUUUAAAAACCUUAACGAGGAUCAAUUGGAGGGCAAGUCUGGUGCCAGCAGCCGCGGUAAUUCCAGCUCCAAUAGCGUAUAUUAAUGUUGUUGCAGUUAAAAAGCUCGUAGUUGGAUUUCGGGAUGGGGCAACUGGUCUACUCUUUGAGUUUGUACUAGUUGGUCUGUUCUUCUGCUUGGGAAAAUCAGUUGCUGUUCUUUAUUGCGCGAUUGAGGGACUCAGGCCUUUUACUUUGAAAAAAUUAGAGUGUUCAAAGCAGGCUUAUGCCUUGAAUACAUUAGCAUGGAAUAAUAAAAUAGGACUUUGGUACUAUUUUGUUGGUUUCUAGGACCGAAGUAAUGAUUAAUAGGGAUAGUUGGGGGCAUUAGUAUUUCGUUGUCAGAGGUGAAAUUCUUGGAUUUAUGAAAGACUAACUUCUGCGAAAGCAUCUGCCUAGGAUAUUUUCAUUAAUCAAGAACGAAAGUUAGGGGAUCGAAGACGAUCAGAUACCGUCGUAGUCUUAACCAUAAACUAUGCCGACUAGGGAUUGGGAUAAGGUUCAUUUAUGACUCCAUCAGCGUCUUCCGAGAAAUCAAAGAUUUUGGGUUCCGGGGGGAGUAUGGUCGCAAGGCUGAAACUUAAAGGAAUUGACGGAGGGGCACCACCAGGAGUGGAGCCUGCGGCUUAAUUUGACCCAACACGGGGAAACUUACCAGGUCCAGACAUAGUUAGGAUUGACAGAUUGAGAGCUCUUUCUUGAUUCUAUGCUUGGUGGUGCAUGGCCGUUCUUAGUUGGUGGAUUGAUUUGUCUGCUUAAUUGCGAUAACGAACGAGACCUUAACCUGCUAAAUAGCUACGCGAACCCUCGGUUCGUGGCCAGCUUCUUAGAGGGGACUUUUGAUGUUUAAUCAAUGGAAGUUUGAGGCAAUAACAGGUCUGUGAUGCCCUUAGAUGUCCUGGGCCGCACGCGCGCUACACUGAUGCAUUCACCGAGUACAUCCCUUGGCCGGAAGGUCUGGGUAAUCUGGUAAAGUCUGUCGUGAUGGGGAUAGAUCACUGCAACUGUGAUCUUGAACGAGGAAUGCCUAGUAAGUGCAAGUCAUCAGCUUGUACUGAUUACGUCCCUGCCCUUUGUACACACCGCCCGUCGCUCCUACCGAUUGAAUGAUCCGGUGAAGUCUUCGGACUGUCCGCUCUGCAAGGGUUCGCCCAUGCGCUGCGGAUGGAAAGUUGCCUAAACCUUAUCAUUUAGAGGAAGGAGAAGUCG
Molecule: ribosomal RNA, 1677 nt
Filed under: uncultured eukaryote
Lineage: Eukaryota
Description: partial small subunit ribosomal RNA
Rfam family: Eukaryotic small subunit ribosomal RNA
Source: RNAcentral